RNAcentral lists this unclassified non-coding RNA (345 nucleotides) under soil metagenome. RNAcentral describes it as "partial contains 5.8S ribosomal RNA, internal transcribed spacer 2, and large subunit ribosomal RNA". The stretch from base 1 to 119 matches the Rfam family "5.8S ribosomal RNA", at positions 35 to 154 of the family's 154-position model. The record is from RNAcentral.
GAUGAAGAACGUAGCGAAAUGCGAUACGUAAUGUGAAUUGCAAAUUCAGUGAAUCAUCGAGUCUUUGAACGCACAUAGCGCCCCCUGGUAUUCCGGGGGGCAUGCCUGUCCGAGCGUCAUUGCUGCCCUCAAGCACGGCUUGUGUGUUGGGCCCCGUCCUCCGAUCCCGGGGGACGGGCCCGAAAGGCAGCGGCGGCACCGCGUCCGGUCCUCGAGCGUAUGGGGCUUUGUCACCCGCUCUGUAGGCCCGGCCGGCGCUUGCCGAUCAACCCAAAUUUUUAUCCAGGUUGACCUCGGAUCAGGUAGGGAUACCCGCUGAACUUAAGCAUAUCAAUAAGCGGAGGA